Molecule: small nuclear RNA, 106 nt
Organism: Gracilinanus agilis (Agile Gracile Mouse Opossum)
Lineage: Eukaryota; Metazoa; Chordata; Mammalia; Didelphimorphia; Didelphidae
Source: RefSeq, a predicted model, not a curated record
GUGCUCACUUUGGCAGCACAUAUGAUAAAAUUGGAAUGAUACAGAGAAGAUUAGCAUGACCCUGAACAAGGAUGAGAUGCAAAUUUGUGAAGCAUGCUAUAUUAAG